GCAACAUCUUCAGCACCACUGCAAAAAAAAUGGAUACUUAUUACUAAAAAGAUAACAUUUCAAAUGAAUAACUGCCAUGUACCCAAUAUAUGUAAGAGUUAAGUAAUGUAUAACAUGUGAGAAUGCAAUUCCAGAGCACACGCUAGAGUAAUUCAAUUUCAGUACAUUCUGAUAUUAUCGAAAAUAUCUCACCUGUAUAUGCAUACACAAGUUCAAAUGAUUUUUCAUUGUACCUCUGCUUGUCUGCUAGGUAAGUAAUUUCUUGUAAAUUAAUUUAUUGUGUCAUUCCUAGGUAUGCUGUAUGCCUAUGUCUUAUUCAUGCGAAAUUAGGCCCAAUAUACAACUUAUCUCAGCUAACCCUCUAACCAUAAAUGCAAUCUCGUUUUGCUAAACAAAGAACUACAAUCUAGAAAAGGAAUAUUCUUUACAAUCUAAUGGCACAUUUGAGAUUAUCCUUUCAACUUCCACUGUUAGGCAAAUAUGAAACAAUCGAUGGGAUUCCACAAUACACAAAGAAUGUUGAUCAGAAUAAUGGGACAUUUUUUAAAAUUUCUGCUACUGACAAAAUAUUUUUAAAAAAUUACAAUUUAAAUUCAAUUAUGGCUAUAUUAAUUACCUGAAUGCAAUAGCAAUAUCAUUG
Molecule: unclassified non-coding RNA, 640 nt
Filed under: Hevea brasiliensis (rubber tree)
Lineage: Eukaryota; Viridiplantae; Streptophyta; Magnoliopsida; Malpighiales; Euphorbiaceae
Source: RNAcentral